Molecule: ribosomal RNA, 1082 nt
Filed under: Diploastrea heliopora
Lineage: Eukaryota; Metazoa; Cnidaria; Anthozoa; Scleractinia; Diploastraeidae
Description: eukaryotic LSU rRNA
Rfam family: Eukaryotic large subunit ribosomal RNA (bases 818-1082)
Source: RNAcentral
ACUACCGAUUGAAUGGUUUAGUGAGGCCUUCUGACUGGCGCCGAUACUCUGGCAACAGAGCGCCGGAUGCCGGAAAGUUGGUCAAACUUGAUCAUUUAGAGGAAGUAAAAGUCGUAACAAGGUUUCCGUAGGUGAACCUGCGGAAGGAUCAUUACCGAUACAAUCCAAGAACAACUCCGUUGUUUGCCCUGUGAACCGUACCGAACCAUUCAGGGGUCGGCCGAGCCGUUAAAUGGCGGUCGGACGCGAGAGAGAGGUGAUCAUGAUGAUCAUCAUCAUCGCGGCCGCUCCGCCAGCCCCGCCAGUGUUUUUCACAGUGUACGUGUCUACUGUCUGAUGGUACGACGGCGGUGGUCGCCGAUUGGUGGAAAAAAAUGCCAGAGACAACUUUUGACGGUGGAUCUCUUGGCUCACGCAUCGAUGAAGAACGCAGCCAGCUGCGAUAAGUAGUGUGAAUUGCAGAAUUCAGUGAAUCAUCGAAUCUUUGAACGCAAAUGGCGCUCUUGGGUUCUCCCAGGGAGCAUGUCUGUCUGAGUGUCGGAUAUCAUCCAUCGCAUGCACGCCUUGUGUGCGUGCUUGCGGCGUUGAGGCGUCACGGCCGCCAGCUCUAGGGCUCUAGGGCUCUAGGUAGGGGGGGGCCGUGUCCCUUGAAAGACAGAGAGACUCGUGGGUGGCUCGUGGGUUUCCCUGCAGCAGCACACCGGCGGAGGCUAAAAGUCUUACUUGUCCUUCGCGUGCUGGCCAGGACCCCGCCGCGCGGGAGUCGCGGAGGAGGCGAACCGACGCUUUUUUGGUCGGUCGGGCAAACUAACUGUCUUGACCUCAGAUCAGGCAAGGCUACCCGCUGAAUUUAAGCAUAUUAAUAAGCGGAGGAAAAGAAACUAACAAGGAUUCCCCCAGUAACGGCGAGUGAAGCGGGAAGAGCUCAAAUUUGAAAUCUCCGAUGCUUGCAUCGGCGAGUUGUAGUUGCGAGAAGCACUUUCUAGGCGGAUCGGUGGUGCCUAAGUUGCUUGGAACAGCACGUCGCAGAGGGUGACAACCCCGUCUGUGGCGGCACCGGCCGCUGACGAUGUGCUUUCGAA